Molecule: ribosomal RNA, 1281 nt
Filed under: Triticum aestivum (bread wheat)
Lineage: Eukaryota; Viridiplantae; Streptophyta; Magnoliopsida; Poales; Poaceae
Description: partial small subunit ribosomal RNA
Source: RNAcentral
AUGGCUCGCUCGCCUGCCAACUUCGUCUUGCUCCUUAUGGCAGCGGCAACCUGGAGCUUCUUCCUUGCCGCCCACGCAGGCAGGCUCCAGCCAAGCUGCAUAGGGCGCGAGAGGGACGCUUUGCUGGCCUUCAAUCAAGGCAUCAGCGAUGACCCCUACGACUAUCUCAAGUCGUGGCGACAAGAGCGCCAAGAUUGUUGCCAAUGGGCAGGCGUCACCUGCGACAACGCAACCGGUCAUGUCGUCAAGCUCGACCUUGGUGGGACAUAUUUGGUCGGCAAGAUAAGUCCAUCCUUGCUUUCUCUAGAGCAUCUCGAGUACCUCAAUCUCAACUGGACGCGACUGUGUGGGCCUGACGGUCGUGUUCCAGAGUUCUUGGGUUCCUUAAAGAACUUGAGGCAUCUUGAUCUAUCCGGCAUGUCUUUCUCUGCUCUCUUGCCUCCUAAGCUUAGCAACCUGUCAAAGCUGGAAUACCUUGACCUAUCCAACAUACAUUUCAAUAAACGGAUUGUCUUAACAGACAUCUCAUGUGCAAACCAAUCCCUCGCACACCUAAACCUAACAACUCUUCACUUCCUUGAUCUCUCCUACAACUUCUUUGGUCAUCCAAUCGCCUCCGGUUGGUUUUGGAGUAUCAAAUACCUUGACCUUACUGAUAUACCACCAGGGUUGGGGAAUUACACUAGUUUGAGGUAUCUUUCUCUUUCGAGCAACCAUCUUACUAGACCUAUACAGCUAGAGACAGUGAGUCGUACUACAUUAGAAGUCCUCGACCUUUCUGACAACAAUAUUACUGGAGUUAUACCGCCAUGGUUGGGGAAUUGCACUAGUUUGAGGCACCUUUCUCUUUCUAAGAACCAUCUCACCGGGCAUGUCCCAUCUAAGAUCAGUUUGCUCGGCAAUUUGACUCAACUCGACCUUAGCAAUAAUAAUUUAGAUGGUGUGAUCACGGAGGAACACUUGGUUUCUCUAAAGAACUUAGAGCACCUGGGUCUAUCACACAAUUCUUUGUUAGGGCAUCUGCCAUCAGAGUUUGGAGCUACCGGCUUAGUAGAAUUGACAUUAUCCUACAACUACUUUAGUGGGCAUAUUCCUGAAUCUAUUUGUAUGUUGUGGGACCUGCUUGUCUUGGAUUUAUCAAACAACCUUCUCAUGGGUGGACUUCCUCGAUGUUCUCGAAAGCCUAACUUGGCUUUCCUCCUCUUAAGUCACAAUAAGUUUUCUGGCAAGUUCCCAUCAUCACUGAAGAACUACUCGAGUUUGGCAUUCAUAGAUCUUUAG